RNAcentral lists this ribosomal RNA (477 nucleotides) under uncultured anaerobic ammonium-oxidizing bacterium. RNAcentral's name for it is "bacterial SSU rRNA". It matches the Rfam family "Bacterial small subunit ribosomal RNA", at positions 365 to 832 of the family's 1533-position model. The record is from RNAcentral.
UUCGCAAUGCCCGAAAGGGUGACGAAGCGACGCCGCGUGCGGGAAGAAGGCCUUCGGGUUGUAAACCGCUGUCGGGAGUUAAGAAAUGCAAGGGUGUUAACAGCAUCCUUGCUUGACUAAGGCUCCGGAGGAAGCCACGGCUAACUCUGUGCCAGCAGCCGCGGUAAUACAGAGGCGGCAAGCGUUGUUCGGAAUUAUUGGGCGUAAAGAGCACGUAGGCGGCUAUGUAAGUCGGUUGUGAAAGCCUUCCGCUCAACGGGAGAACGGCAUCCGAUACUGCAUGGCUCGAGCGCGGGAGGGGAGAGUGGAACUUCUGGUGGAGCGGUGAAAUGCGUAGAUAUCAGAAGGAACACCGGCGGCGAAGGCGACUCUCUGGCCCGUAACUGACGCUGAGUGUGCGAAAGCUAGGGGAGCAAACGGGAUUAGAUACCCCGGUAGUCCUAGCCGUAAACGAUGGGCACUAAGUAGAGGGGUUUU